GACGAACGCUGGCGGCGUGCUUAACACAUGCAAGUCGAACGGAAAGGCCCCUUUGGGGGUACUCGCGUGGCGAACGGGCGAGUAACAAGUGAGUAAGUUGCCUUUGACUUAGGGAUAACUUCCGGCAACUGGGGCUAACUACUGAUAGGAAUCCUUGCUUCCUGGUGGGGGGUGGUAAGAUAGGGGGGUCUGGGAUGGACUCGCGGCCUAUCAGCUUGUUGGUGGGGUGGUGGGUUACCUAGGCAUUGACGGGUAGGCGGCCUGGGAGGGCGGACGGCCACAAUUGGGCUGAAGAACGGCCCAGACCCCUACGGGAGGCAGCAGGGGGGGAUAUUGCACAAUGGGCGGGAGCCUGAUGCAGGAACGCCCGGUGCGGGAAUGCGGCCUUCGGGUUGUAAACCGCUUUCAGCAGGGGCGAAGCUUGUGGUGACGGUACCUGCAAAAGAAGCACCGGCUAACUACGUG
This 465-nucleotide ribosomal RNA is filed under the name uncultured bacterium. RNAcentral's name for it is "partial 16S ribosomal RNA". It matches the Rfam family "Bacterial small subunit ribosomal RNA", at positions 28 to 507 of the family's 1533-position model. The record is from RNAcentral.